Molecule: ribosomal RNA, 1578 nt
Filed under: Helicobacter pylori
Lineage: Bacteria; Pseudomonadati; Campylobacterota; Epsilonproteobacteria; Campylobacterales; Helicobacteraceae
Description: bacterial LSU rRNA
Rfam family: Bacterial large subunit ribosomal RNA
Source: RNAcentral
UGUAUCCGCCGUAAAUCUAAGGUUUCCUACGCGAUGGUCGUCAUCGUAGGGUUAGUCGGGUCCUAAGCCGAGUCCGAAAGGGGUAGGUGAUGGCAAAUUGGUUAAUAUUCCAAUACCGACUAUGGAGCGUGAUGGGGGGACGCAUAGGGUUAAGCGAGCUAGCUGAUGGAAGCGCUAGUCUAAGGGCGUAGAUUGGAGGGAAGGCAAAUCCACCUCUGUAUUUGAAACCCAAACAGGCUCUUUGAGUCCUUUUAGGACAAAGGGAGAAUCGCUGAUACCGUCGUGCCAAGAAAAGCCUCUAAGCAUAUCCAUAGUCGUCCGUACCGCAAACCGACACAGGUAGAUGAGAUGAGUAUUCUAAGGCGCGUGAAAGAACUCUGGUUAAGGAACUCUGCAAACUAGCACCGUAAGUUCGCGAUAAGGUGUGCCGCAGCAAUGCGGUCUCAGCAAAGAGUCCCUCCCGACUGUUUACCAAAAACACAGCACUUUGCCAACUCGUAAGAGGAAGUAUAAGGUGUGACGCCUGCCCGGUGCUCGAAGGUUAAGAGGAUGCGUCAGUCGCAAGAUGAAGCGUUGAAUUGAAGCCCGAGUAAACGGCGGCCGUAACUAUAACGGUCCUAAGGUAGCGAAAUUCCUUGUCGGUUAAAUACCGACCUGCAUGAAUGGCGUAACGAGAUGGGAGCUGUCUCAACCAGAGAUUCAGUGAAAUUGUAGUGGAGGUGAAAAUUCCUCCUACCCGCGGCAAGACGGAAAGACCCCGUGGACCUUUACUACAACUUAGCACUGCUAAUGGGAAUAUCAUGCGCAGGAUAGGUGGGAGGCUUUGAAGUAAGGGCUUUGGCUCUUAUGGAGCCAUCCUUGAGAUACCACCCUUGAUGUUUCUGUUAGCUAACUGGCCUGUGUUAUCCACAGGCAGGACAAUGCUUGGUGGGUAGUUUGACUGGGGCGGUCGCCUCCUAAAAAGUAACGGAGGCUUGCAAAGGUUGGCUCAUUGCGGUUGGAAAUCGCAAGUUGAGUGUAAUGGCACAAGCCAGCCUGACUGUAAGACAUACAAGUCAAGCAGAGACGAAAGUCGGUCAUAGUGAUCCGGUGGUUCUGUGUGGAAGGGCCAUCGCUCAAAGGAUAAAAGGUACCCCGGGGAUAACAGGCUGAUCUCCCCCAAGAGCUCACAUCGACGGGGAGGUUUGGCACCUCGAUGUCGGCUCAUCGCAUCCUGGGGCUGGAGCAGGUCCCAAGGGUAUGGCUGUUCGCCAUUUAAAGCGGUACGCGAGCUGGGUUCAGAACGUCGUGAGACAGUUCGGUCCCUAUCUGCCGUGGGCGUAGGAAAGUUGAGGAGAGCUGUCCCUAGUACGAGAGGACCGGGAUGGACGUGUCACUGGUGCACCAGUUGUUCUGCCAAGAGCAUCGCUGGGUAGCUACACACGGAUGUGAUAACUGCUGAAAGCAUCUAAGCAGGAAGCCAACUCCAAGAUAAACUUUCCCUGAAGCUCGCACAAAGACUAUGUGCUUGAUAGGGUAGAUGUGUGAGUGCAGUAAUGCGUUUAGCUGACUACUACUAAUAGAGCGUUUGGCUUGUUU